Molecule: ribosomal RNA, 425 nt
Filed under: uncultured bacterium
Lineage: Bacteria
Description: partial 16S ribosomal RNA
Rfam family: Bacterial small subunit ribosomal RNA
Source: RNAcentral
GUUAGGAAUAUUGGACAAUGGGCGCAAGCCUGAUCCAGCCAUGCCGCGUGAACGAUGAAGGCCUUCGGGUUGUAAAGUUCUUUAGCCGAUGAUUAUAAUGACUGUAGUCGGAAAAUAAGCCCCGGCUAACUUCGUGUCAGCAGCCGCGGUAAUACGAAGGGGGCGAGCGUUAUUCGGAAUCACUGGGCGUAAAGCGUGCGUAGGCGGUCUCGUACGUUAGGAGUGAAAGCCCAGGGCUCAACCUUGGAAUUGCUCGUAAAGCUGCAAGGCUAGAAUCUCGGAGAGGAUAGCGGAAUUUCCAGUGUAGCAGUGAAAUGCUGAGAUAUUGGAAGGAACACCAGUGGCGUAAGCGGCUAUCUGGACGAGUAUUGACGCUGAGGCACGAAAGCGUGGGGAUCAAACAGGAUUAGAAACCCGGGUAGUCC